AACGAACGCUGGCGGCAGGCUUAACACAUGCAAGUCGAACGGGUGCAGCAAUGCAUCAGUGGCAGACGGGUGAGUAACACGUGGGAACCUUCCUAGGAGUACGGAACAACUCAGGGAAACUUGAGCUAAUACCGUAUACGUCCGUGAGGAGAAAGAUUUAUCGCCCUUAGACGGGCCCGCGUCGGAUUAGCUAGUUGGUGGGGUAACGGCCUACCAAGGCGACGAUCCGUAGCUGAUCUUAGAGGAUGAUCAGCCACACUGGGACUGAGACACAGCCCAGACUCCUACGGGAGGCAGCAGUGGGGAAUCUUGGACAAUGGGCGCAAGCCUGAUCCAGCCAUGCCGCGUGAGUGAAGAAGGUCUUCGGAUUGUAAAGCUCUUUUGCCAGGGACGAUAAUGACGGUACCUGGAGAAUAAGCCCCGGCAAACUUCGUGCCAGCCGCCGCAGUAA
This 451-nucleotide ribosomal RNA is filed under the name uncultured bacterium. RNAcentral describes it as "partial 16S ribosomal RNA". It matches the Rfam family "Bacterial small subunit ribosomal RNA", at positions 29 to 523 of the family's 1533-position model. The record is from RNAcentral.